UGCAGUCGAGCGGUAGAGAGAAGCUUGCUUCUCUUGAGAGCGGCGGACGGGUGAGUAAUGCCUAGGAAUCUGCCUGGUAGUGGGGGAUAACGUUCGGAAACGGACGCUAAUACCGCAUACGUCCUACGGGAGAAAGCAGGGGACCUUCGGGCCUUGCGCUAUCAGAUGAGCCUAGGUCGGAUUAGCUAGUUGGUGGGGUAAUGGCUCACCAAGGCGACGAUCCGUAACUGGUCUGAGAGGAUGAUCAGUCACACUGGAACUGAGACACGGUCCAGACUCCUACGGGAGGCAGCAGUGGGGAAUAUUGGACAAUGGGCGAAAGCCUGAUCCAGCCAUGCCGCGUGUGUGAAGAAGGUCUUCGGAUUGUAAAGCACUUUAAGUUGGGAGGAAGGGCAGUAAAUUAAUACUUUGCUGUUUUGACGUUACCGACAGAAUAAGCACCGGCUAACUCUGUGCCAGCAGCCGCGGUAAUACAGAGGGUGCAAGCGUUAAUCGGAAUUACUGGGCGUAAAGCGCGCGUAGGUGGUUAGUUAAGUUGGAUGUGAAAUCCCCGGGCUCAACCUGGGAACUGCAUUCAAAACUGACUGACUAGAGUAUGGUAGAGGGUGGUGGAAUUUCCUGUGUAGCGGUGAAAUGCGUAGAUAUAGGAAGGGACACCAGUGGCGAAGGCGACCACCUGGACUGAUACUGACACUGA
Molecule: ribosomal RNA, 697 nt
Filed under: uncultured bacterium
Lineage: Bacteria
Description: bacterial SSU rRNA
Rfam family: Bacterial small subunit ribosomal RNA
Source: RNAcentral